UUGAAGAGAAAAUUGGUGGAUUUCAAGUAAUCAAGCAAUCAAAGGCAAAGAAAUUGUACUCGAGGAUCGAUAGUCGGAGUACUCUAAAAAAAUUCGACUCCCAAAAUAGCUCAAAAUAGGCUGUAGAUAACUGAUUUCAUCGAGGGCU
This is a non-coding RNA of Theobroma cacao (cacao), 148 nucleotides long. The record is from RefSeq and is a predicted model, not a curated record. NCBI's taxonomy places the organism in Eukaryota, Viridiplantae, Streptophyta, Magnoliopsida, Malvales, Malvaceae.